Molecule: transfer RNA, 69 nt
Filed under: Margattea concava
Lineage: Eukaryota; Metazoa; Arthropoda; Insecta; Blattodea; Pseudophyllodromiidae
Description: tRNA-Gln
Source: RNAcentral
UAUAUUGUGGUGUAUGGUGCUCAGGAGUUUUUGAUAUUUUUGGUGACAGUUUAAUUCUGUCCAAUAUAA